RNAcentral lists this long non-coding RNA (1265 nucleotides) under Monodelphis domestica (gray short-tailed opossum). Its description in RNAcentral is "lncRNA (ENSMODG00000033414.2)". The record is from RNAcentral. Lineage: Eukaryota; Metazoa; Chordata; Mammalia; Didelphimorphia; Didelphidae.
AUUAGAUUCUUCCCUCUUGUUUGCUCCCCUGAUUAUACCUCAAAGCUGCUAAUUGUGACAGGCAGUGGCUUCCUUAGGCUGAUGAGAGCGCUGGCUAAUGACAUCCUUAAGCCACUCUGCCAGCCUGGGGGCACGCACCUAUCUGUUUGUCCUUUCCAAUCAGACUUAAACCAGAAGGGCCAACGGGUCAAGGGGAAUGACUGUAACAGUGAAAACUGGAUCUCUUUCCUCUCCCUGCUUUCCUAAUGUCCUGGGUGCUGGCCCGGGGCUUGGCUUAUUAUAGACACAUAAAAUAGGCUGAAAUCCAGGUGGAGGGAGUUAUUGGUUGACAUCACUGAGGGGAAACUGGGCUCGGAUGAGGCAGGGCCCACCUGCUGCUGAAACCCAGAUUUACAGAAAGAAAGUUGCCCAGCAGGCCCUGGAUUUGGUUGCCUUCCUUUGCUAUUGUCACGGAUUGUAAACAGAUCCGUGGGUUGCUGGAGGCAGAUUGUCACAGAAUUCUAGAUGGAGUGUCAUGAAAAGGCAGAUAGAUUGUUGUGGAAUCAUGGAUUGAUUGUUGUACCUCUGAGGACAGAUUGUUGGAGAAAUGUAGAGGGAUUGUCAGGGAAUUGUAGAGGGACGGUUAGCAGAGAUGGAGGUGGAUUGUCGUGGUACUGUGGACAGAUUGUUGUGAGAACGUCCCCAUGCUAUGGGGGCUCGACAGGUCUGUGACAGCGGGCAGAUGGGCCUGUGAUCGAUGUGUUCCCCCUGUGCAAGGACAGCCGGAUGAAGGUGCAAACAGCCCGGCUAAUAGAUGAGAAAUGCAGAGCGGGGCUGAUAAGGCCCCAGCACCCGAACUGUGAUGAAUGGGGAAGGAUGCAGCGGGCUAUUUGUUUCCAAGAAAUGAGUGACUUCUGGGGAGAGAAAUGAGUGAGGAAGACAGAGAGUGGAAAAGAAGAGGCCAAAGGAGACACUUCCCUGAUUUCCUUGUUUUCUUCUGUGUGACAAGGAGCUCAAGAGCAAAGAGAAGCUCCCAAAGACUAAGCUACUUUCCAGCAACCCUGGGAGAUGAGGACAUGGAAACCCAGAACGUUUCAAUGAUUUUUCCAAGCUCAAACAGUGUACAGAAAUUGAGGCAGCCUGUUAUUGUGUGAAGAACACAGGAAUUGAAGUCAGAGAACCUGGAUUUCAGUUUUGACUUUGCUACAUAAGAAGUCCUGUGACCUUGUAAAGUUACUUUCCUUCUGUUAAAUAAAGCAGUUGGAAUAAUUAUUAUUUUGAAAGUU